GGGUGCGAUCAUACCAGCACUACAACACCGAAUUCC
RNAcentral lists this ribosomal RNA (36 nucleotides) under Prospero autumnale (starry hyacinth). Lineage: Eukaryota; Viridiplantae; Streptophyta; Magnoliopsida; Asparagales; Asparagaceae. The record is from RNAcentral. RNAcentral also lists the same sequence under 2 other names.